GGACCCGUAGCUCAACGGUUAGAGCGUCCGGCUCAUAAUCGGCAGGUUCCUGGUUCGAAUCCAGGCGGGUCCACCA
RNAcentral lists this transfer RNA (76 nucleotides) under Acidobacteriota bacterium. RNAcentral describes it as "Acidobacteria bacterium tRNA-Met". It matches the Rfam family "tRNA". Rfam says of the family: Transfer RNA (tRNA) molecules are approximately 80 nucleotides in length. Lineage: Bacteria; Pseudomonadati; Acidobacteriota. The record is from RNAcentral. RNAcentral also lists the same sequence under 1 other name.